Non-coding RNA from Cricetulus griseus (Chinese hamster), 1793 nucleotides. The record is from RefSeq and is a predicted model, not a curated record. Lineage: Eukaryota; Metazoa; Chordata; Mammalia; Rodentia; Cricetidae.
AGAGCAAGAAAAUACCAAGGAGAGGCCCCUCCUGUGAUGCAAAAACCAAUGGUUAUUGUAACCCGAUAGCAGGGGCAACUGAAACAAUAAAGAGCUCUCCUAUGGCAAGUCAAGGACAAAAUAAACAUUAGAGGCAGCAAGCAUUCGGGGAGCAUGCAGUCUCAGUGAAGUCCAGAGUGGCAUUGGCAACCACAACAGGCAGCACCAGACAGUAGAACCCAACAAUGUGAGGAACCACAGCACUUCUCCUGGACCCUGACUUGGAACCCUGACUUCAAUAGCAGCCUUCAUCCAGCCUCAGCUCUCAAGAGCAAUGCCAGUUAGGGGUUAAGGGAGUCUUUCCGGUUCAUCUAGUGCUUAAGAAACACCAUUUCAAACAUGAUUUGGGCAGCAGGACUCUAGAUUCAACCAACAUGACAUGGGGACCAUUUCAAGCUCUACGCUUCUUUUUAAGUGCUGGUGUCCCAAUCCUCGAGAGAAAAAUGUCUGAUGUUUUGCGAAACCUCCACUAGUUUCUACCAUCGGUGAAGAAGUAAAAGAUGACACAUAUGCAAAUCAACAAGAUCAAGGACAGUGGGGGGGGGAUUCAGUGACCCCAAGGAAGGGCAGAUGGAUGUGACAACCUCACUGUCAACAGCAACAGAAGCCUGACCUUGGGCUGUGAAGAAUGUGGUCUCCUGACUGGUGGUUCCUGCUUGAGGCUGCCAAAAACAAUCUCUGUUUACGCUUCAGAAGAACUGACUGCCCUUCCCUGACUUGAGUGUCUUUAGUAUCCUAAGCUGUUUCAGACCUCUGCAUUUUCUCAUCCCUGUCCUUACCCUGAAACAAGUCAUUAACUCCCUAUACCUCUUCUUCUCCCUGUCCUUUCUUCUUACCUUCAUGGCCUUCAAUUCUCCCUCCGGUUACCUGCUGUUCAGGCACCAAGAUCCACUAAGCCACCUGAAUUUUCCUCUAGCUUUCUCUACCCCCAUUCCGUGAACCCUGAUAUGUUCCCGACAGCCCUGUGGCAUUGUGAUGGCACAGGAAAGACUUCUGACCCCCCAGCCCCCUACCACAUUCAUCUUACAUUAGUUCGGAGAUUCUCAACUGUAGGAAAUGUUGCCCUUUGAAGGACAUUCGGCAAUGUCUGAAGACAUUUUUGUUUGUUCCUACUAGAAUUUUGAGAACCUAUUGGCUGCUGUAGAGUAGAAGCCAAAGACAGGAGUGCAAGAAAAUCACAGGACAGCCCUCAACGGCUAAGGGUCAUCUGGCCUCAAAUAAUACUGACGCUAAGGUUGUUAAGGUUGAGACAACACCCUGAGUCUUUGAAGCAGGGCCCCAUUCAGCCAGUUCUAAGCCUAGUGUGGGCUGCUCAGUAGAAGUCCAACCCCCAAACUAGAAAUCCAACCUGAAAAUACCUCCUACAUUGCUAUGACACUGGUAAUAAGUGAUUUCACUUAAGUCAAAGAAAAGUCCAGAUUCAGAGGUAGCAACUCACUCAGACAAUCUUUCCCUAACACUGUCCAGCUCCCUCCCUGGUACUUCUCUUCUCUGCCGGGUGUCUGGUUGCUAUGUGUACUGUUGAUUUCAGUAGUAAUUUGACCUUGGCAUGAUAAAUCACACACCCCUCUGUUUAUUCUUGACCUUCAUUCCAUUUCAUUUUAACGAACAUCUCAAUUACUAGGCACUGUGUAGAGAAUUGCAAGAAUAAAAAUAUGACUGAGAUAAGGCUCGUCCUGCCUGGAAGUGCUUGGGGAACAGCAGAAGUGGGAGGGGAGCACAGUUCUGUCUUCUUUAGCAUGUUUCAGAGGGAA